AAAAUUCGAUUCAAUUUUAUUUGUAAAGCAAAGGACAUUGUCCAAAAGCAGCUUUACAGAAAAGCUAAUUAUAUAUUGUUAUUACAACUGCUGUCAAAAUUAGUACGCAAGCUAGCUAAAACAUUAAGGCAUCGAGGCUCCAGUGCAGAACCAUGAAGAAGCAAACCAUGUUGUGGCUGACCAACUACAUCUGGGGACGAGGCUAAUCGCCUGCCAGAAUCCAGUGGCAGCCUCAAAAAGAGCCACUUCAUGUCCAACAAUGGCUCAUUUGCCGACGUGAAAACAUCAUUACAACCAUGAAGAAAAGAAAAAACGGAGAAAAAAAUCCACAGCCAAGAUUACUCCCAGAAUGCACGAUGAUGAUGAUGAUGAUGAU
Long non-coding RNA from Ictalurus punctatus (channel catfish), 376 nucleotides. The record is from Ensembl. NCBI's taxonomy places the organism in Eukaryota, Metazoa, Chordata, Actinopteri, Siluriformes, Ictaluridae.